This 87-nucleotide transfer RNA is filed under the name Phycisphaerales bacterium. RNAcentral describes it as "tRNA-Ser". It matches the Rfam family "tRNA". Rfam says of the family: Transfer RNA (tRNA) molecules are approximately 80 nucleotides in length. Their secondary structure includes four short double-helical elements and three loops (D, anti-codon, and T loops). The record is from RNAcentral. Lineage: Bacteria; Pseudomonadati; Planctomycetota; Phycisphaerae; Phycisphaerales.
GGAGGCGUGCCCGAGCGGCUGAAGGGGACGGUUUUGAAAACCGUUGUGCGGGGAACCGUACCGGGGGUUCGAAUCCCUCCGCCUCCG